AUCACCUGGGAAUCUUGUUAAAUGGCAGAAUCUGCCUCAGUAGGUCUGCGACAAGACCUGAGAUUCUGCAUUUCUAAUAGGCUCCCAGGUGAAACCAA
RNAcentral lists this microRNA precursor (98 nucleotides) under Equus caballus (horse). RNAcentral describes it as "mir-544 microRNA precursor family". It matches the Rfam family "mir-544 microRNA precursor family". The record is from Rfam by way of RNAcentral. Lineage: Eukaryota; Metazoa; Chordata; Mammalia; Perissodactyla; Equidae.